UACGUCGGGUCCGAGCGUUGUCCGGAAUUACUGGGCGUAAAGAGCUCGUAGGUGGUUUGUCGCGUUGUUCGUGAAAACUCACAGCUCAACUGUGGGCGUGCGGGCGAUACGGGCAGACUGGAGUACUGCAGGGGAGACUGGAAUUCCUGGUGUAGCGGUGAAAUGCGCAGAUAUCAGGAGGAACACCGGUGGCGAAGGCGGGUCUCUGGGCCGAUACUGACGCUGAGGAGCGAAAGCGUGGGGAGCGAACAGG
RNAcentral lists this ribosomal RNA (253 nucleotides) under uncultured bacterium. Its description in RNAcentral is "partial 16S ribosomal RNA". It matches the Rfam family "Bacterial small subunit ribosomal RNA", at positions 524 to 776 of the family's 1533-position model. The record is from RNAcentral.